Molecule: long non-coding RNA, 966 nt
Organism: Stegastes partitus (bicolor damselfish)
Lineage: Eukaryota; Metazoa; Chordata; Actinopteri; Pomacentridae
Exons: 2
Source: RefSeq, a predicted model, not a curated record
GAGCCUCCUCUGGACUUCCUCCUCUUCCUUAUACAGUGCCGGUCCACAGCCAAUCAGAGACGAGCACCGUGACAUCACAGCGGGCAGGUCAGAAGUUCAUGUUCAGCCACCGACACACACAGGUGAGUUUUAAUGAGACAGAGUGCAGCUCGCUGUCCAACAUCUGGUUGUGACUGUGUCAUGGUGCAGGACUUUGUGCUGCAGUGGAAAACGAGGCCACAGUGAGAAAAAACAACAGACAGAAAGUGAGCUGAGACGGUUGAAGUUGUGCAGAAGUUGAAUCUGUUGUGCAGCAGCUGUCUGCCUUCCUGUAUAUCCAGUGUGUUAUCUGGAGCUGCAGGGAGGGAGGGGCGGCUCUGCACUCAAACCCACGUGACUUAAAGGAAAGCAGCUGCUGGAGCACAUGCUUUACAAGAACCAGCAGAACGGGCAGAGCCGGAGAACGGGCUCGCUGUGAUGAAUGCGUCUGCAGCAACAGCAAAACACUUGAACCAACGAGGGCAAAAAGCUGACGGUACCAGAACAAACAGUCAUCUUACAGGUGAAACUGGCAGCUUCAAGAACUCAUCUUAAAGCUCCAAGUUCUUCUUGGUAAUAAAUCCCGGUUCUGAAAAGCUGGUUGAACCGUCGUGAACUUUGAACAAGUGCUGCAGCACUGAACCCACAAAUGAUGAAAACACAAAGAACACAUCAGCUAAAAGUCUCUUUUGCCUGGUUCUGUCUGAUGUUGCACUUUGUUUAGUCUGUGGUUCAUUUUGCAUGUUUUGCUUGUCUUUGCUCCUUUUGUUUCUAAUCUCAUCGAGCAUCUAAUUUGACUUGUUUUGUGAUUCAAUAUUCAAGAUCUUUCUUUGUCACAAACCCAAUGAAACACAAUCUAACCCACAGUGAAAUGUUUUGCGCACUUGUUCCAGACUGAAACAAGAAUAUUGUGAAAGAAUAAUGAAUAAAACACACAAAUAUAUAAAG